UACGUAGGGUGCGAGCGUUAAUCGGAGUUACGGGGCGUAAAGCGUGCGCAGGCGGUUUUGUAAGGCAGAUGUGAAAUCCCCGGGCUCAACCUGGGAAUGGCAUUUGGGACUGCAAGGCUGGAGUGUGGCAGAGGGGACUAGAAUUCCUGGUGUAGCAGUGAAAUGCGUAGAUAUCAGGAGGAAUACCGAUGGCGAAGGCAGGUCCCUGGGUUAACACUGACGCUCAUGCACGAAAGCGUGGGGAGCAAACAGG
Molecule: ribosomal RNA, 253 nt
Filed under: uncultured bacterium
Lineage: Bacteria
Description: partial 16S ribosomal RNA
Rfam family: Bacterial small subunit ribosomal RNA
Source: RNAcentral